Molecule: ribosomal RNA, 531 nt
Filed under: uncultured Geobacter sp.
Lineage: Bacteria; Pseudomonadati; Thermodesulfobacteriota; Desulfuromonadia; Geobacterales; Geobacteraceae
Description: bacterial SSU rRNA
Rfam family: Bacterial small subunit ribosomal RNA
Source: RNAcentral
AGAGUUUGAUCCUGGCUCAGAACGAACGCUGGCGGCGUGCCUAACACAUGCAAGUCGAACGGAUUUGAGAAGCUUGCUUCUCAAGUUAGUGGCGCACGGGUGAGUAACGCGUAGAUAAUCUGCCUGAUGAUCUGGGAUAACACUUCGAAAGGGGUGCUAAUACCGGAUAAGCCCACGGAGUCUUUGGACUUUGCGGGAAAAGGGGGGGACCUUCGGGCCUUCUGUCAUCAGAUGAGUCUGCGUACCAUUAGCUAGUUGGUAGGUUAAAGGCCUACCAAGGCUACGAUGGUUAGCUGGUCUGAGAGGAUGAUCAGCCACACUGGAACUGAGACACGGUCCAGACUCCUACGGGAGGCAGCAGUGGGGAAUUUUGCGCAAUGGGCGAAAGCCUGGCGCAGCAACGCCGCGUGAGUGAUGAAGGCUUUCGGGUCGUAAAGCUCUGUCGAGGGGAAAGGAGUGUAUUGUGGCUAAUAUCCAUGAUACUUGACGGUACCCCUAAAGGAAGCACCGGCUAACCCCGUGCCAGCAGCC